RNAcentral lists this long non-coding RNA (1207 nucleotides) under Heterocephalus glaber (naked mole-rat). RNAcentral describes it as "lncRNA (ENSHGLG00000043867.1)". The record is from RNAcentral. Lineage: Eukaryota; Metazoa; Chordata; Mammalia; Rodentia; Bathyergidae.
UGUGCCCGUGCGCAUGCGCACUGGGAAAGAAAAUGGACUCAAUGGGAGGACUUGCGCAGAUACCAGGACCCUCUGCUCUGAGCCACAAUGAAGAACUUUCCCAGACUAGGCAAGCCCAGGGCUCAUUGGAAAUAUGCUAAUGACCCUGCCAGACUCCAGCAUGAUGAGCAAUUUGGAACGCUGCCCUCUUGCCCACUGUGAUGGAGUGGCUCGAAGCUAUGCAGCUACCAAGAUGACCACGCCUGGCACCUAUCAAGGGCCUUUUGAUAGACUCUGUAGAGUAACUCUGACUGCUGAUCACAACUGCGACCCUCUUCAGCUGGAAGUAGCCAGAAUGGUCUUCACCCUUUGCUCCCUCACAGCAGUUAGGGGUACUUCUUCAGAGGAGGAAUAUUAUAGAUAGGUAAGUUAAUUAGAUAUCUUGUUGGCAGUUAGACAGGGCCUCCCUUAAGGUACCAGCUCUCCAGGAGCCAACACAGCAAGGAACCAACAUGGAAAACAAUUGAGGCACAUUCACUGGUUAGCAUUAUAAAAAGGAAAAGAAGUGCUACUUCCCCUAGAGAUAGACAGCAGUGACUAAUGUUCUAAAUGGGAAAUUCCCUGUAUGUGACUUGUCUUCCCAUUUGACCCCCAUUUAAUCAAUAUUACCUGGUUAACUGUACUUGUAAUCUUAUUGGUUGGUCUUGGUUUUGUCCCACCUCAUGCCCACCUUGAAAAUUUCCACUGGGUUUUAUAGUUUUGUCUCACUUUGUACCCGCCUCACCACAUGGCUUUGCUGUAUAAAACAUCUUUGAAAAGUGAGGUAGGUGGGCAACCCACUUUCUGGUCCCCCUUCUGUCUCUCUUAGAAGUUUUCUGUCUCUCAAUAAAUUUCCCCUACCCCUAAAAAGAAAAAAAAAAAAAAAGAGGAGAGGUUUAACUUGGCUUACAGUUUCGGAGGAUUCUUUCCACGGGAGGCUGGUUCCAAGGCAGAAAUGUCAUGGCAGAGGGGCCUAGCAGGGCAGAGAUGCUUAGUUCAGUGCAGCUGGGAAGGAGAACAGGGGAACAGUCUCAGCGAGGAAGGUACUAGGGACUAGGUAUAGACCCUAAUGUCACACAUCCAAGAUCCACAAUGUACCCAGAAAUGUGCUUUACUAAUCCUCUAGGUGGCUCCCAAACCAAUCAAAUUGAAAUUUCACCUCAGUCAUACACAAUUUAAAGAUACCAUU